GGCUUUAACUGACGCUGAGGCACGAAAGCGUGGGUAGCAAACAGGAUUAGAUACCCUGGUAGUCCACACUGUAAACGAUGAUUACUAGGUGUGGGGGGUCUGACCCCUUCCGUGCCGCAGUUAACACAAUAAGUAAUCCACCUGGGGAGUACGACCGCAAGGUUGAAACUCAAAGGAAUUGACGGGGGCCCGCACAAGCAGUGGAGUAUGUGGUUUAAUUCGAAGCAACGCGAAGAACCUUACCAGGUCUUGACAUCCUAAGGAUCUGCCAGAGAUGGCGGAGUGCCCUUCGGGGAAUUUAGAGACAGGUGGUGCAUGGUUGUCGUCAGCUCGUGUCGUGAGAUGUUGGGUUAAGUCCCGCAACGAGCGCAACCCUUACUGUUAGUUGCUACGCAAGAGCACUCUAGCAGGACUGCCGUUGACAAAACGGAGGAAGGUGGGGAUGACGUCAAAUCAUCAUGCCCCUUAUGACCUGGGCUACACACGUACUACAAUGGCCGUCAACAGAGGGCAGCGAAAUAGUGAUAUGGAGCAAAUCCCUAAAAACGGUCUCAGUUCAGACUGCAGGCUGCAACUCGCCUGCACGAAGGUGGAAUUGCUA
This 601-nucleotide ribosomal RNA is filed under the name uncultured bacterium. Its description in RNAcentral is "bacterial SSU rRNA". It matches the Rfam family "Bacterial small subunit ribosomal RNA", at positions 732 to 1337 of the family's 1533-position model. The record is from RNAcentral.